RNAcentral lists this ribosomal RNA (602 nucleotides) under uncultured bacterium. Its description in RNAcentral is "bacterial SSU rRNA". It matches the Rfam family "Bacterial small subunit ribosomal RNA", at positions 209 to 803 of the family's 1533-position model. The record is from RNAcentral.
AUGCUACCGCUUUUGGAUGGGCCCGCGGCGCAUUAGCUAGUUGGUGGGGUAAAGGCUUACCAAGGCAAUGAUGCGUAGCCGAACUGAGAGGUUGAUCGGCCACAUUGGGACUGAGACACGGCCCAAACUCCUACGGGAGGCAGCAGUAGGGAAUCUUCCACAAUGGGCGAAAGCCUGAUGGAGCAACGCCGCGUGGGUGAAGAAGGUCUUCGGAUCGUAAAACCCUGUUGUUAGAGAAGAAAGUGCGUGAGAGUAACUGUUCACGUUUCGACGGUAUCUAACCAGAAAGCCACGGCUAACUACGUGCCAGCAGCCGCGGUAAUACGUAGGUGGCAAGCGUUAUCCGGAUUUAUUGGGCGUAAAGGGAACGCAGGCGGUCUUUUAAGUCUGAUGUGAAAGCCUUCGGCUUAACCGGAGUAGUGCAUUGGAAACUGGGAGACUUGAGUGCAGAAGAGGAGAGUGGAACUCCAUGUGUAGCGGUGAAAUGCGUAGAUAUAUGGAAGAACACCAGUGGCGAAAGCGGCUCUCUGGUCUGUAACUGACGCUGAGGUUCGAAAGCGUGGGUAGCAAACAGGAUUAGAUACCCUGGUAGUCCACGCCGU